AAAGGGUGCCCUUUGCGGGGCUGAGAUUAUACCUUCGAACCUGAUGCAGAUAAUGCUGCCGUAGGAAUUGAGUCGAA
This 77-nucleotide non-coding RNA is filed under the name bovine gut metagenome. The record is from RNAcentral.